UCAAGAUAAGCGUAGCAGAAAUCUAAUC
RNAcentral lists this small RNA (28 nucleotides) under Bombyx mori (domestic silkworm). RNAcentral describes it as "ovarian small RNA-24710". Lineage: Eukaryota; Metazoa; Arthropoda; Insecta; Lepidoptera; Bombycidae. The record is from RNAcentral.